GCGUGCGGCGGCUACACAUGCAAGUCGAACGGUAACAGGAAGCAGCUUGCUGCUUUGCUGACGAGUGGCGGACGGGUGAGUAAUGUCUGGGAAACUGCCUGAUGGAGGGGGAUAACUACUGGAAACGGUAGCUAAUACCGCAUAACGUCGCAAGACCAAAGAGGGGGACCUUCGGGCCUCUUGCCAUCGGAUGUGCCCAGAUGGGAUUAGCUAGUAGGUGGGGUAACGGCUCACCUAGGCGACGAUCCCUAGCUGGUCUGAGAGGAUGACCAGCCACACUGGAACUGAGACACGGUCCAGACUCCUACGGGAGGCAGCAGUGGGGAAUAUUGCACAAUGGGCGCAAGCCUGAUGCAGCCAUGCCGCGUGUGUGAAGAAGGCCUUCGGGUUGUAAAGCACUUUCAGCGGGGAGGAAGGCGGUAAGGUUAAUAACCUUGCCGAUUGACGUUACCCGCAAAAGAAGCACCGGCUAACUCCGUGCCAGCAGCCGCGGUAAUACGGAGGGUGCAAGCGUUAAUCGGAAUUACUGGGCGUAAAGCGCACGCAGGCGGUCUGUCAAGUCGGAUGUGAAAUCCCCGGGCUCAACCUGGGAACUGCAUUCGAAACUGGCAGGCUAGAGUCUUGUAGAGGGGGGUAGAAUUCCAGGUGUAGCGGUGAAAUGCGUAGAGAUCUGGAGGAAUACCGGUGGCGAAGGCGGCCCCCUGGACAAAGACUGACGCUCAGGUGCGAAAGCGUGGGGAGCAAACAGGAUUAGAUACCUGGUAGUCCACGCCGUAAACGAUGUCGACUUGCAGUUGUGCCCUUGAGCGUGCUUUCGAGCUAACGCGUGAGUCGACGACUGGGAGUACGCGCAAGGUAAACUCAAUGAUUGACGGGGCCGCCAGCGCUGGACAUGUGUAUUCGAAUGCACCUCGAGCACCUUACUACU
RNAcentral lists this ribosomal RNA (928 nucleotides) under Enterobacter hormaechei. Its description in RNAcentral is "bacterial SSU rRNA". It matches the Rfam family "Bacterial small subunit ribosomal RNA", at positions 35 to 978 of the family's 1533-position model. The record is from RNAcentral. Lineage: Bacteria; Pseudomonadati; Pseudomonadota; Gammaproteobacteria; Enterobacterales; Enterobacteriaceae.